Molecule: ribosomal RNA, 546 nt
Filed under: Raffaelea sp.
Lineage: Eukaryota; Fungi; Ascomycota; Sordariomycetes; Ophiostomatales; Ophiostomataceae
Description: partial large subunit ribosomal RNA
Rfam family: Eukaryotic large subunit ribosomal RNA
Source: RNAcentral
CAAUAAGCGGAGGAAAAGAAACCAACAGGGAUUGCCCCAGUAACGGCGAGUGAAGCGGCAACAGCUCAAAUUUGAAAUCUGGCUCCCCCCUGGGGGGCCCGAGUUGUAAUUUGGAGAGGAUGCUUUGGGCGCGGCGCCUUCCGAGUUCCUUGGAACAGGACGCCAGAGAGGGUGAGAGCCCCGUACGGUCGGACGCCUAGCCCUUGUAAAGCUCCUUCAACGAGUCGAGUAGUUUGGGAAUGCUGCUCAAAAUGGGAGGUAAAUUUCUUCUAAAGCUAAAUACCGGCCAGAGACCGAUAGCGCACAAGUAGAGUGAUCGAAAGAUGAAAAGCACUUUGAAAAGAGGGUUAAACAGCACGUGAAAUUGUUGAAAGGGAAGCGCUUGUGGCCAGACGUGCGCCCCGUGGCUCACCCGCCGUUCUGCGGCGGGGCACGCCGCGGCGGCGCAGGCCAGCAUCGGCUCUCCCAGGGGGACAAAGGCCGCGGGAACGUAGCUCCUUCGGGAGUGUUAUAGCCCGCGGCGCCAUACCCCUGGGGGGGCCGAGG